This 485-nucleotide ribosomal RNA is filed under the name Diopsis nr. gnu KCADI063-14. RNAcentral describes it as "partial 16S ribosomal RNA". The stretch from base 251 to 409 matches the Rfam family "Bacterial large subunit ribosomal RNA", at positions 2473 to 2632 of the family's 2925-position model. Lineage: Eukaryota; Metazoa; Arthropoda; Insecta; Diptera; Diopsidae. The record is from RNAcentral.
GUUUCAUUUAUAUUUAUAAUAGAACUUUAUUUUUUAGUUAAAAAGCUAAAAUAAAUUUAAAAGACGAGAAGACCCUAUAAAUCUUUAUUAUUUAAUAUUCUAUUAAUUUAUGUAAGAUGAAAUUUUUAAUUAGUAUUUAGAUAAUUUUAUUGGGGUGAUAUUAAAAUUUAUAAAACUUUUAAUAAUAUAAAUCAUUAAUUAAUGAAUUUAUGAUCCGUUAUUAACGAUUAAAAAAUUAAGUUACUUUAGGGAUAACAGCGUAAUUUUUUUGGAGAGUUCUUAUCGAUAAAAAAGUUUGCGACCUCGAUGUUGGAUUAAGAUUCUUAUUUAAAUGUAGAAGUUUAAAUAUAAAGUCUGUUCGACUUUAAAAUCUUACAUGAUCUGAGUUCAAACCGGUGUAAGCCAGGUUGGUUUCUAUCUUUAAAUCAAUAAAAUAUUUUAGUACGAAAGGAAUGAAUAUUUAAAUUUAAUUUUUAAUAUAGAAU